Molecule: ribosomal RNA, 775 nt
Filed under: uncultured Neocallimastigales
Lineage: Eukaryota; Fungi; Neocallimastigomycota; Neocallimastigomycetes; Neocallimastigales
Description: partial large subunit ribosomal RNA
Rfam family: Eukaryotic large subunit ribosomal RNA
Source: RNAcentral
UAUGUGAUCGUCUCUCGCAUAUCAAUAAGCGGAGGAAAAGAAACUAACAAGGAUUCCCCUAGUAACGGCGAGUGAAGCGGGAAGAGCUCAAAUUUGAAAUCUUAAAGGGUUUCCCUUUACGAAUUGUAGUUUAAAGAAGUGUUUUCUGUUGAGGUUUUGGUAAAAGUUCUUUGGAAUAGGACAUCAUAGAGGGUGAGAAUCCCGUAUUUGACCUUUACUUUCAACUUUGUGAUACACUUUCAAAGAGUCGGAUUGUUUGGGAAUGCAGUCCAAAAUAGGGUGGUAAAUUUCAUCUAAAGCUAAAUAUUGGCGAGAGACCGAUAGCGAACAAGUACCGUGAGGGAAAGAUGAAAAGAACUUUGAAAAGAGAGUUAAACAGUACGUGAAAUUGUCAAAAGGGAAGCGUUUGACACCAGUGUUGUUUUUCUGAAAAUCAAUUAAAGAACUGUUUAUGCUAAGCUGUUUAGACUUUAUCAGCUAUCUGUUUAGUUUUGAGCUUUUCUUUAAUGCACUUUUCAGUUAACAAGUCAACAUCAAUUUCUUUUGCUGUAAAAAAGCUUGAGGAAGGUGGCUUGAGAUUCGUCUUAAGUGUUUAUAGCCUCUUGCCUAUGCAGUCGGAGAGAUUGAGGUCUGCAGCGUAGAUCCUUCGGGGCUAAAUGCAUUUGUGCUAAGUUAUAGCAUUUUAUAGACAACUUGUUGACUAUGAUUUGUCUUGUAGCUUACUCGCUUAUGUUAUUUUACCUACGCUUAGGAUGUUGAACGCGCACAGAGUCUC